RNAcentral lists this ribosomal RNA (253 nucleotides) under uncultured bacterium. RNAcentral's name for it is "partial 16S ribosomal RNA". It matches the Rfam family "Bacterial small subunit ribosomal RNA", at positions 524 to 776 of the family's 1533-position model. The record is from RNAcentral.
GACGAGGGGUCCGAGCGUUGUUCGGAAUCAUUGGGCGUAAAGCGGGUGUAGGUGGCUCUAUAAGUCAGAAGUGAAAGCCUCGGGCUUAACCCGGGAAGUGCUUUUGAUACUGCAGAGCUUGAAUGUGGGAGAGGGUAGUGGAAUUCCAGGUGUAGUGGUGAAAUACGUAGAUAUCUGGAGGAACACCUGUGGCGAACGCGGCUCACUGGACCACAACUGACGCUGAGGCGCGACAGCGUGGGGAGCAAACAGG